AAUCUGUGGUGCGGACAUUUCUGAAUUAAUGUUUUAAAAUGUUCCCAAGCUUCAUGAAAACUUUCCCCUUCAAAGACAACAAUUUCUCUUCUUAGUUU
Non-coding RNA from Gossypium hirsutum (cotton), 98 nucleotides. NCBI's taxonomy places the organism in Eukaryota, Viridiplantae, Streptophyta, Magnoliopsida, Malvales, Malvaceae. The record is from Rfam.